Molecule: ribosomal RNA, 391 nt
Filed under: uncultured Pelotomaculum sp.
Lineage: Bacteria; Bacillati; Bacillota; Clostridia; Eubacteriales; Desulfotomaculaceae
Description: bacterial SSU rRNA
Rfam family: Bacterial small subunit ribosomal RNA
Source: RNAcentral
GACCGCGUAUGAAAGUACGUUUUCACCCUCGGGUGACAGGGAGACAGGUGGUGCAUGGUUGUCGUCAGCUCGUGUCGUGAGAUGUUGGGUUAAGUCCCGCAACGAGCGCAACCCCUACGUUUAGUUGCUAACAGGUGAAGCUGAGCACUCUAGACGAACUGCCGUUGACAAAACGGAGGAAGGUGGGAUGACGUCAAAUCAUCAUGCCCCUUAUGUUCUGGGCUACACACGUGCUACAAUGGCCGGUACAGACGGAGGCGAAGCCGCGAGGCGGAGCAAAUCCGAAAAAGCCGGUCUCAGUUCGGAUUGCAGGCUGCAAUUCGCCUGCAUGAAGUCGGAAUCGCUAGUAAUCGCAGGUCAGCAUACUGCGGUGAAUACGUUCCCGGGCCUU